RNAcentral lists this unclassified non-coding RNA (351 nucleotides) under soil metagenome. RNAcentral's name for it is "partial contains 5.8S ribosomal RNA, internal transcribed spacer 2, and large subunit ribosomal RNA". The stretch from base 1 to 120 matches the Rfam family "5.8S ribosomal RNA", at positions 35 to 154 of the family's 154-position model. The record is from RNAcentral.
GAUGAAGAACGUAGCGAAAUGCGAAAAGUAAUGUGAAUUGCAGAAUUCAGUGAAUCAUCGAAUCUUUGAACGCACAUUGCGCCCGCUGGUACUCCGGCGGGCACGCCUGUCCGAGCGUCAUUUCAACCCUCAAGCCCUCCUUCGGGAUGGGCCUGGUGUUGGGGCUCGGCCGCCAUCUCCGGCGGCCGUCCCCUAAAUACAGUGGCGGUCACGUCGCGACUCCUUUGCGUAGUAGAAACACCUCGCUCCGGAUAGCAACGCGGUCCACGCCGUAAAACCCCCAAUUUUCAAUGGUUGACCUCGGAUCAGGUGGGAAUACCCGCUGAACUUAAGCAUAUCAAUAGCGGAGGA